Molecule: ribosomal RNA, 89 nt
Filed under: Alteribacillus persepolensis
Lineage: Bacteria; Bacillati; Bacillota; Bacilli; Caryophanales; Bacillaceae
Source: RNAcentral
CCGUUCCCAUGCCGAACACGGAAGUUAAGCUCUUUUGCGCCGAUGAUAAUGAAGGGGAAACCCUUUGUGAAAGUAGGACGCUGCCAGGC